Notolabrus celidotus (New Zealand spotty) is the source of this 4618-nucleotide long non-coding RNA. RefSeq lists it as uncharacterized. The transcript has 2 exons. The record is from RefSeq and is a predicted model, not a curated record. NCBI's taxonomy places the organism in Eukaryota, Metazoa, Chordata, Actinopteri, Labriformes, Labridae.
UAACAGAGCAAAGAUGGCGUAGAGCGGAGGGUGAGCAGAGACGGGGGACGAGGGGACCUUCUCCUCUCCUGGGGGAGGAAAGGAGAUCCAUCCUUCCUGGAGGUUUAUGGUUUAAUCUUCCGAAGGUAAAUCCUCACUCAGAGAGACCGGUCUCCCUGCACAUGAACCCCGGUGUAGACCUGGUCCUGGAGGUCUGGAUGAGUCCCCGGAGAAGAAGAACCCUCCUGGCUUUGUUUACCAUGAUGAUCAGCUGCAGCUCCAAGCACCCUGAGAAUACCUCUGCAUCACUCCAGACCAUCACUCACACCAAGGAUGUGUUUACCAGUUGUGAUCCAGUCUGACACUGAGGAUGGAGGAACACCUCUGCUCCAAUCAGCCCUCGCUGGACCGCUCCGAUGUCUCCUGAGAUCUGUGGAGGUAAAGGACGAAGAGUCUUUGUGAAGAUGACCUCUGUUGGGCUUUUGGUGCACGGGUGUCCUCCUUCCUCCUUCCUGCUCCUGCAGGUGGAGCAGUGGCCUCUCUCCUCCACAGCACCUCCCCUCCCUCUGUCCUGACCUGUUUCUGCAGCACGAUCACGAGUCAGGACAUCUGCCUGGAUCUGACUCUGACUACUCCGACAUGAAGCCUCGUGUGGCGUACUUGUCGUUGGGUCGGCUUUGAAGGCCUGAAAGUUUCCAUCAUUCGGGCGUCUGCAGUUAGAUCUGGGUUCAAUGUCUUAUCAGGUUUCAUGCAAACAUUAGCAGCUAAAUCUAAAAACAGCCCCACACACUUAGUAAUCAGAUCACAGCAGUUUGGAACAAAGUGCUCCACAUUAUCUGGGACACACAAAAAGCAAAGACACACGAUACUGUAGCAAAGAUCAAGGCCUGUGAUGAACUCAAAGGGUGUUUAAGUUUUGAUUUCUGCACUACCUCAUCACCAUGACAAGUCAAACAGGAGUGAAGGGAGCGCCAGCAGAACAAGUUACCUGGUUGUGAAGCGCCACAGCAGUUCUUAAGUUGACGAUUCAGCUUCAGUUGAUCCAUCAUGAGGAAAACUCUUAACUGUGGUCCCCUUUGCAUCUUCUCUCUUCUUUCAUUAUGGGCUCUCUAUGAGCCAGAAUCCCCAAAUUCCCUCCCUGAGAUCCCUCAAAUUUCGCAACUAACAGUAGUUUUAGUGGGUCUUUUAUUUUGAAAGUCUCAGCCAACUUUCUCCUCUUUUAAACAACUUUCAGUCCCCAAACUCUCCCUCAUAUCUUUCUACUUCCUCCUUUUUAAGCUCUUACUGAUGCUCUAAUGAGAAGUGGAUGCAGCCAUCAUGACGUUCACAUUUGCCGCAUUUUUUUUCGUUGCUUUGGGUCGUUGCUAUCUUUUUUGUUUUGCACCAGAAGUGACCGUACUUGCAGCUGAGGGUCGAGGUCGGGAGGACUUAAGGCGUGAGCUUUAACCGCUCAGCAAAACAGGCGCCCCAAAGGAUCGCAGGCUUUCCUUUUAAAACCACAGCUCUACAUCCUCUCCUGAUUUACACUUUCUAGAUUUAUUCUGCAUCCUUUAACUUGAGCUUAUCGUCUUUCGUCACCACAAAUAUCCUCUUAAUAGGACGUCCUUUACCCGCUGUAGGUAGAGACAGAAUCCCCCAAAAUCCCUCCCUGAGAUCCCUUAAAUUUCGCAACUAACAGUAUUUACAGUUUUUUUUUUAUUUUGAAAGUCUCAGCAGACUUUCUCCUCUUUGUGCUUCCUUAAUUCCUACCUUUUGACGCUUUCAGUCCCCAAACUCUCCCUCAUAUCUUUCUAGUUCCUCCUUUUUAAGCUCUAACGGUUGUUUUAAUGAGAAGUGGGUGCAGCCAUCAUGAAGUUCACAUUUGCCUCAUGUCUUCAUAAUUUUUUUUGCACCAGAAGUGACCGUACGUUGGAGCAGGAGAGAGCGAGGGCUGAGCUGAGGUAUCACCAGGAAGAUGCAUGAGUAGUUUGAUAGAAGCUAUGCUAGUUUGAUGCUAAUUGAAGCUCCUAAGAAUGUCUUGAAGCGCCCUCUGCUGGUUGUUAGAAGGGAUGCAUUUUUUAACAGAUAUUCUUUUGGGGUAUUUUUUUGCUAUUAUUGGAUUGGACGUCUGAAGAGAGAGAGAGGACGUGGGGAGUAGAGAGUUGAGGUAGGAAGUGCAGUUGAGGGUCAAGAUUGGGAGGACUUGUAGCGUGAGCUUUAAGGCUGAUUUAUUCUUCUGCGUCGCCCCUACGCAGCGGACAUGAGCCCCACAUACUUGUGCGUAGAUGUGUCCGUGUCGCGCAGCAAUUCUCCUCCGAAACACUAGAGGGCAGUGUGGUCUCUCUGAUAGUCGGUCCCGCUACGAUCUCUGUUUCCUUUUCCACAGAGAUUCAGAGCGUGUUCUGUUAAUCUACAGCUGAUACAUGUUGCUGUUUAUCAUACAGACAUGAUUACAUGAAGAAGAGAGAGGAGGAGAGGAAAUACACGGCCGAUGAGCGGGGAUCCAGGAAGUGCUGUAAAUGCAGGAAAUACAAUGCAGCUGAGCCGACCAAUCACAGGGCUUACAGUCUGCGUCCAUUCUUGGGGUAGUUACAUUUUGGAGGAGGUGCACGUCAGCUACACGGACCUCUGGCAUAGGCUACGCUGUCAAUUCGACGCAGAAGUAUAAAUCAGCCUUUAGGAGGAGCCUCAUAGGAAAGCAUUUUUAAGACCGUCUUUCCUUUAAACAUCCGCUCCUGAUUUACAGAUCCUAGAUUUAUUCUGCAUCCUUUAACUUCAGCUUCUCGUCUUUUGCGACCACACAGACCCUCUUAACAGGAGGUCCUUUACCCGCUGCAGGUAGAGACAGAGUUCAGCAUCUUCUGCUUGAACCACAAACCGCAGCUUUAAUCUUUUGAAGGAACCCCUGGUCUCAUUACGUCGACUUUCCUUUUGAAACCUUUUAUGAAAGAAUCAAAUUGUUCCGGGAUUUGUGCAAUAUUUGAUCUUAACUGUCAUGUUGUUGACCAAACUGUAUAUUGUAUAAACAAGUGACAAGUUGUUUGAAAGCAACAAAAUCACCAAUGUCUUCCAUUAAGAUAUGUAUAGACUCAUGUGCAUUAGCUUAUUUAGCGGGCCUGUGGUGCCAACAUACUCGUAGCCAUGCAUGACCAGUAGUGACGCUUGCUUCAUGAGGAGUAGUGAAACCCAGUCUCUGGACUGAGCUGGGGUUAGUUUGAAGUGCUGCACCUCUGAGCACAGAACACCGUAGACGCAGCUUCGCCCUCAGAUCUUAGGUUUGUGCAGCUUCUCCUUCUUUUACUGCAUCAUGCAAACACAAUAAGGUGCGACAGGAUCAGGUUGUUUUUAUAUAUGCAUGUUAAAAAAACGUCAGCGCGGCUGUACGUUCUUAAAAAAAAAGCUGAAGAGGUGUCCUGAUUUGCACUCUCAAGCAUGAAAGGUGUUGUAGAUGUUUUUCAAAGCUCCAAAAAAACGAGUCUCAGAUUCGACAGAGACGUAUCUUAGCACAGGUAGUGAGAUCAUGAACUGCUGCAGAUCCAAGGUAGUGUUUAUACUCUCCACAUCUUCUUGUACAUAAUACCUCAUAGCUUUUUGGAUUCAGAGUGAUAUAUUUUAAUCCAUAAAUUGUAUUUGAUUAGAGUUUUAGAAGCAAUAACCUUCAAUAAUGCAUGAGUUUAGUGCCAGGGUGUGAUAGUUGGAGGACUCUACAGUAGCUCUCUGUCCGUCACUUUAUUCAGAGGACAGAGUCGUCCCAGAUUCUUCCUGCAGAGCGCGUUAGGACGUCUGUAGCAUCACAGCGUCCGUCACAUGCCAAAAUCAACCCCUGCCUUUUAUUCUCCAACACCAAACGGGAAUCAGACGUUGGAUCAGUACGCGAGAGAAGCUUUACGUUUAAAUCCUUGUAGCACCCCGUCCACCUCUUCCUUUAGAAACUCUGUGGCUGCAAAGACUCUGAACGGACUUGUUUGAAAAGCACUUUCUCUCUACGUACUGACUUGCACCAUCAUCAUCAUCCUCAUCCUCAUCAUCCUGUCUUGAGUACUGUGUUCUUAAAAACCCUGUAAUGCUCUCUGUUGGGAUUAUAAUCACAUUUAUAAGCAAGUAGGCGUCUCUAAGCAACAAUGAAUAUAUGGGUUUAAAAAAUAUGCAUGACUUUUAGCAGAAUAACGAAUGAUUUGUAUUGCAUGCAAUAAUCCAACUUUGUAAUGUGAAUGAGUGUAACUAGGCUAAAGAAGUGUUCAUUAUGGGAUGUUCUGUGAAAAGGUGACAACGUAGGGAACGCUUGUUUGACUCGACAGCAGCACGUUGACGUAGCUUCGUUCAUCAGCUGCAGUUUAAAGCACCAAAAAGAAGUCCAACCGGAGGCGGGUCGGACGUGAUCCGGCUCGCACGGCGGUGCAGCUGAGAACCACCAUCAACCUUUAGUUCCCCAUGUAAGAAAAACAACAAACCUUAGGUAGACAAGUAACGAAGACUUUACUCUGUUGAUCCACUUUUCCACUGAGGAGGUGGACUGUGUAGAAACUAUGCACUCCAGAGGGAGGAGAUGGGCAUGCUUAUUAUGUGUGAGCCUCUUGUCUGGUUUUGUAUUAUUAACUUAAAAAAAAAAGAAAUCUGUAUCAGAAAUUCAGCAAUAAAAAGCAGCAUGGUGCCAACUGGA